This 408-nucleotide ribosomal RNA is filed under the name uncultured bacterium. Its description in RNAcentral is "partial 16S ribosomal RNA". It matches the Rfam family "Bacterial small subunit ribosomal RNA", at positions 28 to 526 of the family's 1533-position model. The record is from RNAcentral.
GACGAACGCUGGCGGCGUGCUUAACACAUGCAAGUCGAACGAAGUGGCGAACGGGUGAGUAAUACGUGAGUAACCUUGCCUCCUUUUUGGGAUAAGCCUUGGAAACGGGGUCUAAUACCGGAUAAAGGGGGCUGGGCUCGCGGCCUAUCAGCUUGUUGGUGGGGUAGUGGCCUACCAAGGCGACGCCGGGUAGCCGGCCUGAGAGGGCGACCACGGACAUUGGGACUGAGGUACGGCGCAAACUCGUACGGGGGGCAGCGGUGGGGAGUAUGGCACAAUGAGGGAGCGCCUGAUGCAGGGGCGCCGCGGGCGUGAUGACGGCCUUCGGGUUAUAAACCGCUUUCAGCCAAGACGCGGUAGUGGCAGAAGAAGCACCGGCUAACUACGUGCCAGCAGCCGCGGUAAUUC